This 2067-nucleotide ribosomal RNA is filed under the name human gut metagenome. RNAcentral's name for it is "bacterial LSU rRNA". It matches the Rfam family "Bacterial large subunit ribosomal RNA", at positions 828 to 2925 of the family's 2925-position model. The record is from RNAcentral.
UCCAAUCGAACCCGGAGAUAGCUGGUUCUCCUCGAAAUAGCUUUAGGGCUAGCCUUCAGUUAGUCUGCCGCAGGUAGAGCACUGAAUUUCCUAGGGGGCGUCAAAGCCUACCGAAGAAUAUCAAACUCCGAAUGGCGGACAGAUGAUGCUGGGGAGUCAGACUGCACGAGAUAAGUUGGGUGGUCAAAAGGGAAAGAGCCCAGACCUACAGCUAAGGUCCCAAAGUACGUGUUAAGUGGAAAAGGAUGUGGGAUUUCAAAGACAGCUAGGAUGUUGGCUUAGAAGCAGCCAUACAUUAAAAGAGUGCGUAAUAGCUCACUAGCCGAGAGGUCCUGCGCCGAAAAUGUCCGGGGCUAAAACACGACACCGAAGCUUAGGAAUCAGAAAUGAUUGGUAGAGGAGCAUUCUUAAAUCAUCGAAGCUGUACCGGUAAGGAGCAGUGGAGGUUUAAGAAGAGAGAAUGCCGGAAUGAGUAGCGAGAAUGAAGUGAGAAUCUUCAUGGCCGAAUAUCCAAGGUUUCCAGGGUAAAGCUGAUCUGCCCUGGGUUAGUCGGGGCCUAAGGCGAGGCUGAGAAGCGUAGCUGAUGGACAACAGGUUGAAAUUCCUGUACUGCCUUAUAACAGAACUGUGGGGACACAUGUUCAGGUCGCGAGCCGGGAAAGGAAAGCCCGGUGCAAGCAGAGGUUAUCGGUGGGAGGCAAACCCCCCACAAAAGAGAAGACUGCGAUGCGGAGCGAAGAAAAGUAGCGAAGAGCGAUGAGAAUGUGUCGAGAAAAGCCGCUAUUGUUUAUAAGGUACCCGUACCGUAAACCGACACAGGUGGAUGAGGAGAGAAUCCUAAGGCCGGCGGGAGAAGCAUUGUUAAGGAACUCGGCAAAAUGACCCCGUAACUUCGGGAGAAGGGGUGCCCACGAAAGUGGGCCGCAGAGAAUAGGCUCAAGCAACUGUUUAGCAAAAACACAGGUCUAUGCAAAACCGUAAGGUGAGGUAUAUGGGCUGACGCCUGCCCGGUGCUGGAAGGUUAAGAGGAGAGGUUAACGAAAGUGAAGCUUUGAAUUUAAGCCCCAGUAAACGGCGGCCGUAACUAUAACGGUCCUAAGGUAGCGAAAUUCCUUGUCGGGUAAGUUCCGACCCGCACGAAAGGCGUAAUGAUUUGAGCACUGUCUCGACAAUGCACCCGGUGAAAUUGAAGUACCAGUGAAGAUGCUGGUUACCUGCGCCAGGACGGAAAGACCCCAUGGAGCUUUACUCUAGUUUGGUACUGGGGUCCGGUAUUGCAUGUACAGGAUAGGUGGGAGACUGAGAAGUGUGAACGCCAGUUUGCACGGAGUCAUUGUUGGGAUACCACCCCUGCAGUAUUGGGCUUCUAACAGGUAGCCGUAAACCGGCUAAUGGACAAUGCCAGGCGGGGAGUUUGACUGGGGCGGUCGCCUCCGAAAGGGUAUCGGAGGCGCUCAAAGGUUCCCUCAGAAUGGUUGGAAACCAUUCGAAGAGUGCAAAGGCAGAAGGGAGCUUGACUGCGACACCGACGGGUGGAGCAGGUACGAAAGUAGGACUUAGUGAUCCGGUGGUAUAAAGUGGGAUUGCCAUCGCUCAACGGAUAAAAGCUACCCUGGGGAUAACAGGCUUAUCACUCCCAAGAGUUCACAUCGACGGAGUGGUUUGGCACCUCGAUGUCGGCUCAUCGCAUCCUGGGGCUGUAGCAGGUCCCAAGGGUUGGGCUGUUCGCCCAUUAAAGCGGUACGCGAGCUGGGUUCAGAACGUCGUGAGACAGUUCGGUCCCUAUCCGGCGUGGGCGGAGGAUAUUUGAGAGGAGCUGUCCUUAGUACGAGAGGACCGGGAUGGACGAACCUCUGGUGUAUCGGUUGGAUUGCCAAAUCCAUGGCCGAGUAGCCAAGUUUGGAAGGGAUAAACGCUGAAGGCAUCUAAGCGUGAAGCCCCCCUCAAGAUGAGAUAUCCCUGCGUAUGCAGUAAGACCCCUUGAAGACUACGAGGUAGAUAGGUCAGAGGUGGAAGUGCAGUAAUGCAUGUAGCUGACUGAUACUAAUAGGUCGAGGGCUUGACCAA